UACGAAGGGGGCUAGCGUUGCUCGGAAUUACUGGGCGUAAAGCGCUCGUAGGCGGCUUUCUAAGUCGGGGGUGAAAUCCUGGAGCUCAACUCCAGAACUGCCUUCGAUACUGGAAAGCUCGAGUCCGGCAGAGGUGAGUGGAACUGCGGGUGUAGAGGUGAAAUUCGUAGAUAUUCGCAAGAACACCAGUGGCGAAGGCGGCUCACUGGCCCGGUACUGACGCUGAGGUGCGAAAGCGUGGGGAGCAAACAGG
RNAcentral lists this ribosomal RNA (253 nucleotides) under uncultured bacterium. Its description in RNAcentral is "partial 16S ribosomal RNA". It matches the Rfam family "Bacterial small subunit ribosomal RNA", at positions 524 to 776 of the family's 1533-position model. The record is from RNAcentral.